RNAcentral lists this ribosomal RNA (467 nucleotides) under uncultured bacterium. Its description in RNAcentral is "bacterial SSU rRNA". It matches the Rfam family "Bacterial small subunit ribosomal RNA", at positions 328 to 792 of the family's 1533-position model. The record is from RNAcentral.
GGACCAGACUCCUACGGGAGGCAGCAGUGAGGAAUAUUGGUCAAUGGGCGCGAGCCUGAACCAGCCAAGUCGCGUGAGGGAUGACGGCCCUACGGGUUGUAAACCUCUUUUGUCGGGGAGCAAAUUCCGCCACGUGUGGCGGAGUCGAGAGUACCCGAAGAAAAAGCAUCGGCUAACUCCGUGCCAGCAGCCGCGGUAAUACGGAGGAUGCGAGCGUUAUCCGGAUUUAUUGGGUUUAAAGGGUGCGUAGGCGGACUGUCAAGUCAGCGGUAAAAUCGUGGAGCUCAACUCCAUCCAGCCGUUGAAACUGCGUUUCUUGAGUGGGCGAGAAGUAUGCGGAAUGCGUGGUGUAGCGGUGAAAUGCAUAGAUAUCACGCAGAACUCCGAUUGCGAAGGCAGCAUACCGGCGCCCAACUGACGCUGAAGCACGAAAGCGUGGGUAUCGAACAGGAUUAGAUACCCCAGUA